This 510-nucleotide ribosomal RNA is filed under the name uncultured bacterium. RNAcentral's name for it is "bacterial SSU rRNA". It matches the Rfam family "Bacterial small subunit ribosomal RNA", at positions 28 to 528 of the family's 1533-position model. The record is from RNAcentral.
GACGAACGCUGGCGGCGUGGAUUAGGCAUGCAAGUCGAACGGUAUCAUCCUUUCGGGGGUGAGAGAGUGGCGAACUGGUGAGUAACACGUAGGUUAUCUACCCUCAAGACGGGGACAACCCAGGGAAACUUGGGCUAAUACCGGAUGUGAGCAACUUUUAGUUGUUUGAAAGGUGGCGUAAGCUGUCGCUUGGGGAUGAGCCUGCGUCCUAUUAGUUAGUUGGUGAGGUAACGGCUCACCUAGGCAAUGAUAGGUAGGCGGCCUUAACGGGUGGUCGCCCACACUGGGAUUGAGAUACGGCCCAGACUCCUACGGGAGGCAGCAGUCGAGAAUAGUCUACAAUGGUCGGAAGACUGAUAGUGCGACGCCGCGUGAACGAUGAAUCCCUUCGGGGUGUAAAGUUCUUUUAUAUGUGAGCAGUGCUUCUUAUAUUAACAGUAUGGGGAGAGAGAUAUUAGCAUAUGAAUAAGCAACGGCUAACUCCGUGCCAGCAGCCGCGGUAAAACUCGU